AGGUCUUAGUGAUCCACACUACUGAUCACUUCUUGACAUUGACCACAUUGAUUUCAAGUAAUACUAACCCAUUCUACAUUUCUCUCUCUUCUCCCUUACUGUACCUCACUUGUGAGGUAUAUCAUCACCA
Molecule: long non-coding RNA, 130 nt
Organism: Alosa sapidissima (American shad)
Lineage: Eukaryota; Metazoa; Chordata; Actinopteri; Clupeiformes; Clupeidae
Exons: 3
Source: RefSeq, a predicted model, not a curated record